This 447-nucleotide ribosomal RNA is filed under the name uncultured bacterium. RNAcentral's name for it is "bacterial SSU rRNA". It matches the Rfam family "Bacterial small subunit ribosomal RNA", at positions 356 to 825 of the family's 1533-position model. The record is from RNAcentral.
UGGGAAUCUUGGACAAUGGGCGCAAGCCUGAUCCAGCCAUGCCGCGUGAGUGAUGAAGGCCUUAGGGUUGUAAAGCUCUUUUUGCCGGGGACGAUAAUGACGGUACCCGGAGAAUAAGCCCCGGCAAACUUCGUGCCAGCAGCCGCGGUAAUACGAAGGGGGCUAGCGUUGUUCGGAAUUACUGGGCGUAAAGCGCACGUAGGCGGAUUGUUAAGUCAGAGGUGAAAUCCCGGAGCUCAACUUCGGAACUGCCUUUGAUACUGGCAAUCUAGAGUCCGGAAGAGGUUAGUGGAAUUCCCAGUGUAGAGGUGAAAUUCGUAGAUAUUGGGAAGAACACCAGUGGCGAAGGCGGCUAACUGGUCCGGUACUGACGCUGAGGUGCGAAAGCGUGGGGAGCAAACAGGAUUAGAUACCCCCGUAGUCCCUGAGCGGGCUGGCAAGGCGCAU